GUCGGGCAUGUUGGCUCAUGCCUGUAAUCCCAGCACUUUGGGAGGCUGAGGCAGGUGGAUCACUUGAGGUCAGGAGUUCGGGACCAGCCUGGCCAACAUGGUGAAACCCUGUCUCUA
Gorilla gorilla gorilla (western lowland gorilla) is the source of this 117-nucleotide non-coding RNA. It matches the Rfam family "Metazoan signal recognition particle RNA". From Rfam's summary of the family: The signal recognition particle (SRP) is a universally conserved ribonucleoprotein. The record is from Rfam. NCBI's taxonomy places the organism in Eukaryota, Metazoa, Chordata, Mammalia, Primates, Hominidae.